AGGUAUUUUAAAAGUAGACCGAAUUUUUGAUUUGGGAUACCCAAACCUUGUUGAAGUGAGAAAGGGUAUUAGUUUUUACAAACACUGGAUCUCAAGGUAAAUCACUAUUAUGAACAUGACUUAGCCGUGAGUUACUUCGUGCUUCCAAAAAUAACAGAAUAAAGCGUAGUUUGUCCAAUUUUUGUCCAAUUUUUGAAGUAGGGCAUAAACUCUUUCGCAAACAUAGCUAGUUACAGAUUUAGGGUUUAGGGUUUUAGGAUUUUAGCUAGUUACAGGUUAUCCACUAGAAACUAACUCCAAAAUCACGAUCAGUUGUGCUAUGUUAGGGUGUAUCUGUCAAUUUCACUUGUACAGUUAUGAAUCAAAGAAGCAACUUAUGUUACUUCACUCUAGC
RNAcentral lists this long non-coding RNA (394 nucleotides) under Physcomitrium patens. RNAcentral describes it as "long non-coding RNA (PPAT_LNC001983)". Lineage: Eukaryota; Viridiplantae; Streptophyta; Bryopsida; Funariales; Funariaceae. The record is from RNAcentral.